Molecule: long non-coding RNA, 1432 nt
Organism: Cyprinus carpio carpio
Lineage: Eukaryota; Metazoa; Chordata; Actinopteri; Cypriniformes; Cyprinidae
Source: Ensembl
UGCGGCUCAUUUGAGGACGGAAUACGGCGAAAUAAAGUGUUUAAUCUUACUUAUAAAAUGUGUUUUGUAUUAUCAUAUCGUUUUAUAACGACAUUUAUUUGCUGUGUGCACAUAAACUUUUCUCAAGGACAUUUCCUUUCACUCACGAUGCGGAACAGACGAGGACGUCAUUUAUUUUCUAUAUAGGAAAUCUAAAAAAGAGAUAUUUUCUUCCACUCACGAUGGGGAGAAUAUGGGGAAUCUGUUUUUUAUCAAAGGAAAACACCAUAAGUAAGUGUUUUACCUCGUUUACAUGUAUUUUAUAAGAUGAUAUUACUUCAUGAUGAUAUUUAAAUGCUGCGCGCGCCUAAACGAGCCUAACCGUCUCUCAUAGAUUUUAAUCGCUGUGCAGUGCAGACCAUGGUGCAGACGCGGUUAGUUAGAGAAGGGAGAGAGCAGAAAGAGAUAUUGUCUUUCACUCGCGAAGGAAAACACAGAAAACAGAGCCCUGCCUCAGCACAGUGAGAUCAGCAUGGAAUUCAGGAAUCACAACCUAUUUUCCAAAGCACUUUUGUGAUGCUGCAAGUGGAUGCUCUGCUUAGUUGAAAACUGCAGAGAACCACGUCUUGUCCUGAAAAAAAGAAAGAGACUACUUUCUCCAAGGAGGUCCAAACGCCACUGGCACAGACUGCGUUCAGCGAUUAAUCGAAAUCGUAAUAAAAUCAAGAUUUGAGCGUGCACGAUUUCUAAAUCGCUUUAUAGCACGAUUUUCCGCGGGCCCGACCUCCCGCAGUAUGCUAUCCAAUCCAAUCAGAAUGCAGCGCACCUAAGUGGAGCGAGAGAACAGAACAGACUGGACAUAUGCCUAACUCCAGGUUCACACACUCUGUCUUUGAUGCAUAUUUUUUCCGCGCCCAUGUUAAUGGAUCAGAGUGUUCACACUGCACAUGGUAAAAGAUGUGAACAGAAAAGGUUAGAAAUAGAAAGGUGCGAAAAGAAUGAAUAUCUAGCGCAUGAGCAUAGAGAGAGUUGUGAGUGAGUGAGUGAGUGAGUGAGAGGAGACGUUUUAAUUGCGCGGACGACAGCAGCGUGUAUCUGAGCAUCGCGUCUGGUUUUGUGACAAAGCAAAGGCGAGCGGAGAGAUUCGCGCAUUAUUUUAAUGUGCUUUCACGUUACAAUAACUCGCUCUCGCUGCUGCUUCUGCACCGCAUACACAUACUGUAUACGCACUGCAGAUGGAGUACGUGUAAACCUGUAUAAUGUAUAACAAAUCUAUUUCAACACCUGAGGCACCGCUACAAUGAGCUCUAUGACCAAUGCAUGGCAAAAAAAAAAAAAGCCCUGGACACAGGUUUUUUUUUUCUUUUUUUUUUUGCCAUAUGUCUAGACAUUUUGUUUGACAUCUUUACUUAGUGAUUAUUUUGACUUAUGUCUGUUCUAGAGGCAUGUUACA